Molecule: ribosomal RNA, 253 nt
Filed under: uncultured bacterium
Lineage: Bacteria
Description: partial 16S ribosomal RNA
Rfam family: Bacterial small subunit ribosomal RNA
Source: RNAcentral
UACGUAGGGUGCAAGCGUUAUCCGGAAUUAUUGGGCGUAAAGAGCUCGUAGGCGGUUUGUCGCGUCUGCUGUGAAAAUCCGGGGCUCAACCCCGGACUUGCAGUGGGUACGGGCAGACUAGAGUGUGGUAGGGGAGACUGGAAUUCCUGGUGUAGCGGUGGAAUGCGCAGAUAUCAGGAGGAACACCGAUGGCGAAGGCAGGUCUCUGGGCCACUACUGACGCUGAGAAGCGAAAGCAUGGGGAGCGAACAGG